UAUUGAUAAAGAGUUUAUCCUGCCUGCUGCUGAGGACAUUUGCUGUCAACUUUUAGGAGAGGCUGCAGUUCAAAUGGUGGCGCGUGUUUCUCUUUUGGCUAGCACCGUAACUAGAUGAAUUGAUGAAAUAGCAGAGGACAUUGAGGCAUGAUUGUUGAAGGGAUCAAUGAGUCAUUGAGAUACACAAUCCAGGUUGAUGAGUCUGCCAGUGUUGACAACAAGGCAAUGGUGCUUGUUUUUGUGUGACAUAUUUUUCAGGAGGAUGAGAAUGAGGAUGUGUUUUGUGUACUUUUGUUGCCAACCAACACCACAGCUGCAGAACUGUUCAAGUCUUUGAAAACUGAAUUGGUCAUUUUGUGUCAGUAUAUGCACAGCCAGAGCAGCUGCUAUGACUGGAUGGCUUUCUGGUUUCUCUACUUGGGUCAAGAAGGUGGCUUCUAAACAUGAGUCUACACACUGUGUAAUCUGUGGAGAAAUUCUGGUUAGCUAAAAAAUGUCACCUGAACUAAAGAAUGUUUUGCAGGAUGUGAUUAAAAGUUUCAACCACAUGCCUUUAUCUCAUGUCUGUUCACACAACUCUGUGAGGAGAUGGAUGCAGAGCACACACGUCUUCUCUUAUGUACAGAAGUGGGAUGGUCUUCUGAAGGUAGAUCCAUCUGCCAAGAGUGAGGUAUGAGUUAUGAGUUAUGAGAGCCACCUCAGAGAUUUCUUUUAGUAGAACAGUCACCACUGGCAGCACAUUUAAGUGACAGAGAAUGGGUUGCAAAACCUGCUUACUUGUGUGAAGUAUUCAACCUGCUCCAGUGAACACAAUCUGUCACUUCGAGGAAGAAUGACAACUGUUUUCAAGCUGGCAUAUAAAGUGGCUACAUUCAAAGCCAAACUGGAAUUAUGAGGGUGGCAGGUGAACAUGGGGAUUUUUGACAUGUUUCAAACAUUUGCAGAGAUUUUGAAAGAGACUGAACCAGGGCCUUCUUUCUCCCAGAUGGUGCAUGAUCACCUAUCUCAGCUUUCAAAAAAGUUUGAGCAUUACCUCCCAACCACAACAGACCCUUGAACUGUUAAGUAAUGGAUCUGCAACCUAUUUGUGACUAAGCCAGGUGAAUCAACUUUGUCCGUGCUAGAAGAGGAUUAACUACUUGAGAUCGCAAAUGACAGUGGGCUUAAAAGUGUUUUUGAGACAACCUCAAAUCUCCAUACCUUCUGGAUUAAAGUCAAGGCACAAUAUCCUGAGAUUGCCACAAAAGCACUGAAUAUUUCCAAUAUUCUAUCUUAGUGAAGCAGAGUUUUCUGCAGUGGCAGCAACCAAAACAAGAUUAUGGAGUAGACUGGACAUAAGCAACAUGCUUCAGGUGUGACUGCCUCUCAUCCCUCCUAGAUGGAACCAUCUAAUUGCAAGAAUAAGCUCAGGACUCCCACUGACUCUGCAUUAUGGAUGUUUUUCUUUUCUACAAAGUCAAAAAAGUCAUCCCUUGAAAGACAUAGAAAAUAAUCUUUUGAAAUAAAUGGAAAACUAUGGAAGCAUUGGACUCGCUGGACCGAAGAGAAAACAGUGACCAGGCUACAGAGGACAUUUUAAGAGUUCUAAAUAUGAAGCUGUCAGGUAGUGGGAUCCUGGGAAGGCAUGUGUAAGAGAAAGAACGCCGAUACCAAAAGGAGAUCUGAGGCAAGAAAACAACAUGAAGUGGAAAGGCAAGGAGAUAACUGGACAUGGAAUUUGAUAAUAUGGACAUUGGAAAGAUCUCAGAAUACACUCCAAGCCUUUCAUUAUAUUGGUAAGUCAGUUAACUUCUCUACACCUCAUUUCUUUUUCAUCUGCAAAGUGGCAAUAGGAGUAUUCAUCUUGGAGGGUUACUGUGUGAAUUGCUAGAGAUAAAAAUAAAAAUGUUCGGUAUUCGGUGGACACUAUUUUUAGAAUGUGGUCGAAAUCAGGUAAGGCAACUCUGAAGGGAAUGGGUGAGGGGGUACGUUCCAUCCACACAGAGCUGCCAAUGAAAGACUGGAUCUGAAGAAUGCAACGCUGAUCUCAGUUGAAAGCUGCUGAUCUGGAGUUGGAAGGGUCUGUAUCAAGUAAGA
Microcebus murinus (gray mouse lemur) is the source of this 2076-nucleotide non-coding RNA. Lineage: Eukaryota; Metazoa; Chordata; Mammalia; Primates; Cheirogaleidae. The record is from RefSeq and is a predicted model, not a curated record.